AUUGUCAGCCAUGUCGACCUCAUCAAAUUGGCAUCACAAACUGUGCCUACUUUCAUCAAAAUUGUUCAUCUUUCCAUGUUUUUCUAAUAAACUUGUUGCUCUGUUCAAAGACAGAGUUGUUAGAAGGUGCCAGAUAACAAAGCAACUGCGCUGGUUGUGGCAGUCAAACGCACUGUGUGACAAGGCGUUGAUACAACUGUACACACUCGUGUCCUUAAGAGCCCUUCUGGUCACCGAGAUUGCCAGCCAAUUGUCUGUCCAGCUGAUUUGCAAUUGGCAUUCAGGUUGGCAUCCAAG
Molecule: long non-coding RNA, 297 nt
Filed under: Zea mays
Lineage: Eukaryota; Viridiplantae; Streptophyta; Magnoliopsida; Poales; Poaceae
Description: long non-coding RNA NONZMAT001650
Source: RNAcentral